UACGAGGGGGGCAAGCGUUGUUCGGAAUUAUUGGGCGUAAAGAGCUCGUAGGCGGCUUGUCACGUCGGAUGUGAAAGCCCGAGGCUUAACCUCGGGUCUGCAUUCGAUACGGGCUAGCUAGAGUGUGGUAGGGGAGAUCGGAAUUCCUGGUGUAGCGGUGAAAUGCGCAGAUAUCAGGAGGAACACCGGUGGCGAAGGCGGAUCUCUGGGCCAUUACUGACGCUGAGGAGCGAAAGCGUGGGGAGCGAACAGG
This 253-nucleotide ribosomal RNA is filed under the name uncultured bacterium. RNAcentral's name for it is "partial 16S ribosomal RNA". It matches the Rfam family "Bacterial small subunit ribosomal RNA", at positions 524 to 776 of the family's 1533-position model. The record is from RNAcentral.